GGCGGGCGGGGGGGAUCACCCUUUAGUCGAGAGGCCACGGGGUGGCGAGCCUCAAAACCGUCACGAAGCGGGACCCCUUGAUGAAAGGGAGCACUUUUGUGUCCGCUGGUUAACAUCAAUUUCGAUCGUCAUAAAAAGGCUGGAGGGAUGUGGCUCCUUCGGGAGUGUUAUAACCUUUAUCGGAAUGUGGUGGUCGGGAUUGAGGAUUGCAACGAAUACCUUCGGGGCUGUUCCACCUGGCCUCUCUUUGGUAUCCUGGUGACGACAGCUUGCUGACGUCGUUAGGAUUCUCCUUUGAACAGGCUAGAGUGUGAGCAAAUUCUUUAAGGAUGUUGACGUAAUGACGUA
RNAcentral lists this ribosomal RNA (348 nucleotides) under uncultured Glomeromycotina. RNAcentral's name for it is "LSU rRNA". The record is from RNAcentral. Lineage: Eukaryota; Fungi; Glomeromycota.